RNAcentral lists this RNase P RNA (256 nucleotides) under Salmonella enterica. RNAcentral describes it as "partial RNase P RNA component class A". It matches the Rfam family "Bacterial RNase P class A", at positions 106 to 367 of the family's 367-position model. Rfam says of the family: Ribonuclease P (RNase P) is a ubiquitous endoribonuclease, found in archaea, bacteria and eukarya as well as chloroplasts and mitochondria. RNAcentral also lists the same sequence under 2 other names. Lineage: Bacteria; Pseudomonadati; Pseudomonadota; Gammaproteobacteria; Enterobacterales; Enterobacteriaceae. The record is from RNAcentral.
CCAGUGCAACAGAGAGCAAACCGCCGAUGGCCCACGCAAGUGGGAUCAGGUAAGGGUGAAAGGGUGCGGUAAGAGCGCACCGCGCGGCUGGUAACAGUCCGUGGCACGGUAAACUCCACCCGGAGCAAGGCCAAAUAGGGGUUCAUAAGGUACGGCCCGUACUGAACCCGGGUAGGCUGCUUGAGCCAGUGAGCGAUUGCUGGCCUAGAUGAAUGACUGUCCACGACAGAACCCGGCUUAUCGGUCAGUUUCACCU